RNAcentral lists this RNase P RNA (333 nucleotides) under Candidatus Woesearchaeota archaeon. RNAcentral describes it as "RNase P RNA component". It matches the Rfam family "Archaeal RNase P". From Rfam's summary of the family: Ribonuclease P (RNase P) is a ubiquitous endoribonuclease, found in archaea, bacteria and eukarya as well as chloroplasts and mitochondria. Its best characterised activity is the generation of mature 5'-ends of tRNAs by cleaving the 5'-leader elements of precursor-tRNAs. Cellular RNase Ps are ribonucleoproteins. Lineage: Archaea; Nanobdellati; Candidatus Woesearchaeota. The record is from RNAcentral.
GGGUAAGUACUUAGCUUUCGCAUCUAAUGUGAGGAAAGUCCACCCACACAGUCAAUUUGACUGAAAAAUUGCCACUCUUGGAAGAGAGAUCCGGAAACGGAUGGCAACCCAUUCAGAAAAUAAACCACAUGUUAACAGGAUGAUGUUGCGAAGCCUGAGGUGACUUGGGUGAGUUAACCAACUGACGUUUUAGCAUGAAAGGAUGAAACAUGGGACCUGGUUUGUGCAAGUUGAAGGCAUUGUUAUGUCAAACGCUUAGUUAAAUGCUAAGGCAGGCUAUCGUAACUUAAUGUUACACAAAAGGGCCUGACAGAAGGUGGCUUAUUCUUGCCC